CCUACGGGAGGCAGCAGUAAGGAAUAUUGGUCAAUGGAGGCAACUCUGAACCAGCCAUGCCGCGUGCAGGAAGACUGCCCUAUGGGUUGUAAACUGCUUUUAUCCGGGAAUAAACCUGCUUACGUGUAAGUAGCUGAAUGUACCGGAAGAAUAAGGAUCGGCUAACUCCGUGCCAGCAGCCGCGGUAAUACGGAGGAUCCAAGCGUUAUCCGGAUUUAUUGGGUUUAAAGGGUGCGUAGGCGGCCUGUUAAGUCAGGGGUGAAAGACGGUAGCUCAACUAUCGCAGUGCCCUUGAUACUGAUGGGCUUGAAUGGACUAGAGGUAGGCGGAAUGAGACAAGUAGCGGUGAAAUGCAUAGAUAUGUCUCAGAACACCGAUUGCGAAGGCAGCUUACUAUGGUCUUAUUGACGCUGAGGCACGAAAGCGUGGGGAUCAAACAGGAUUAGAUACCCUGGUAGUCCACGCCCUAAACGAUGAACACUCGCUGUUGGCGAUACACAGUCAGCGGCUAAGCGAAAGCGUUAAGUGUUCCACCUGGGGAGUACGCCCGCAGGGUGAACUCAAGGAUUGACGGCUGAGAGNGCGAGGCGACGACGAGGGAGGAGG
This 606-nucleotide ribosomal RNA is filed under the name uncultured bacterium. RNAcentral describes it as "bacterial SSU rRNA". It matches the Rfam family "Bacterial small subunit ribosomal RNA", at positions 338 to 947 of the family's 1533-position model. The record is from RNAcentral.